GCCAACAGCCGCGGUAAAACGUAGGGUGCAAGCGUUGUCCGGAAUUACUGGGUGUAAAGGGAGCGCAGGCGGACCGGCAAGUUGGAAGUGAAAACUAUGGGCUCAACCCAUAAAUUGCUUUCAAAACUGCUGGCCUUGAGUAGUGCAGAGGUAGGUGGAAUUCCCGGUGUAGCGGUGGAAUGCGUAGAUAUCGGGAGGAACACCAGUGGCGAAG
Molecule: ribosomal RNA, 214 nt
Filed under: Salmonella enterica subsp. enterica serovar Typhimurium
Lineage: Bacteria; Pseudomonadati; Pseudomonadota; Gammaproteobacteria; Enterobacterales; Enterobacteriaceae
Description: partial 16S ribosomal RNA
Rfam family: Bacterial small subunit ribosomal RNA
Source: RNAcentral